CUUGGAAGUAACUCCAGUUAUGGCACUCUCCAGCAUUUACCAUGGAGGAAAGAAUACAUAUCGAUUUUCAAGUGGAUGAGUAUUUAUAUCUCAAAAGAGGAAAUACAGAAGAUCACAUUUCAUGGGAGAUAACUACUCUAAGAAAGCAGAUUGUAUGUAUACACAUUCAUGGAUACACAGGUUUGGGGGUUUAAAUAGCUUCUUUCUGAUUCACAGUUGUGCCAAAUGUGA
Molecule: long non-coding RNA, 231 nt
Filed under: Vulpes vulpes (red fox)
Lineage: Eukaryota; Metazoa; Chordata; Mammalia; Carnivora; Canidae
Description: lncRNA (ENSVVUG00000014205.1)
Source: RNAcentral